Molecule: long non-coding RNA, 469 nt
Filed under: Mytilus galloprovincialis (Mediterranean mussel)
Lineage: Eukaryota; Metazoa; Mollusca; Bivalvia; Mytilida; Mytilidae
Source: RNAcentral
UGAUAAAGUGAAUAGAUUAAAGUAUAUAACUUAAACUGUUAAGACAAUAUAUAGGUUUACGCUUAUUGACCUUUUUCUGUCUACGUUAUGACUUUAUUUAUGCGAUGUGUGUAUUAUUCUCGGACAAUACUCGUGAAAGACCUGUAUAAAGGUGAAAUGUUAUUUGCAGAUCGGUAAAUUGCUUGGCCUCUAGGGCACACCGUGCCAGGUGUGACUGUCUAUUCGGAUCAGUGGGUUAUACGACAGGAGGUCAAGUUUAAUACACAAAUUUAAAAUACAUUUUCAAGGUGUUGACAAAUACAAGUGAAUCGCCGUGGAAUUAUUUAAUUAUAUUUGGUGCUAUUAUUUUAUUUGAAUUCAAAGAAGUUACUAAACUAAGAAAUGAACCGGUUAAAGUCUGGAAAUUAAAUUUAGUUGUCGGAAUGAAAUGAUAUACACUCUUAUCAUUUAUUUAUAUUUUUUUAAAGGG